Non-coding RNA from Paramuricea clavata, 1576 nucleotides. Lineage: Eukaryota; Metazoa; Cnidaria; Anthozoa; Malacalcyonacea; Plexauridae. The record is from the annotation of a GenBank genome assembly.
GUUUUGUUGAUUCUUUAUGUAUUUAUUCUCAAAGUUUUAACAAAUUUUAAGAAAAAUACUUCAGAUAUAAGCUGUGAACACACAUGUACACAAAACUGUGCAACAUUCGUCAUCAUAUUGUAUCAAUUUGUCGGACUAUGGCGCUCAUAUUUGUGACAUUGUUUUGUUCGCUUUGGCAACCCUGCCAACCCUCGUAUAUAUCAGAUGCUGUUCGGCCUCAAAUGCGACUGAAUGAACACUGAUAGUGUUGCCUGGAAUAUGAAAUGAUAUUGACUGAUUGUUCCGUAUAUCAAGGUAGGUACUGUACAUUUAUACUGAAUUUAUUCCAUUUAUUUUCACACGUUGCUUUCACAUUUUCCCAGAGUCUCGGAAAUCACAUUUUCUAUUAAACACAGUUUCACACAUACAAGACUUCAUUUCACACAUACAGAAAGACUUUUAAUCAAAUUAUGAUAACAGUAUGAUAAUUAUGAUAACAGUAGAAAUUGCUUAGAAAGAUUUUAUUCUUUUUUCCAUAUACAGUACAACUGUUAUUUUGAUUUUCUCUUUCCUAUAUUUUCUUUAAUUAAAGCAGGUACUGUUCUGUUACAAAACAACUAAUAAACAUUUUAUUAUUUUAACAGGUGAACCAUAUUUUACAUCAACUUGGGAAAAGCCAACUUGAAUUCCAUGGAAAUAUAUAAUCAUGUCAUCAAUCAGAUAGUAAACAAUCAUUAAAAAUUAGAUGGCCUCAAGAUUAUAUUUCACAUUGACCAACAUGAAAAUUUUUAAAUGGGAAUGAGUUGAUGGCAUUAUAGUUUUCUAAUGUUCAUCAAGGUGAAGAAACUCACUAUACCUUUCCCUGGUACAGAGCCAUGGUAGUAAUCUUAGAAUGUUUUCAUGAUGCCUCUAUUCAGUAGUUCUUUAACCAGUUUAGUAUUAUGACUGUAUUAUUUUAAAUAGCCUUGUUUGACUUUUGUAUUUUGUUUCUUUAAUAAUACAAUCAUUUACAAUGGUGAAAAUUACAGUUUAAUAUUUGUAUUUCUAAUGAUAAUUACUUGCACAUAUCCAUCACACUUCUCUGUUACUAUAUUACUACCAUGCAAGUAAAAUCUCUUGGGAAAAAUAAAAUGUUAUCCCAGGAUGGUCAUAAAUAUCAGCUAAUAAACCUAAUGAAUAUACCCAUAAUCAUGUACAUAUGACUAUCAUAUAAUAUGUUGUAAUUCCUUUGAGUGUUUCAAAUCAAAUAAAUUUUUAUUUUCAGUUGUUCAUUGUUCAAACUUAUUUGAAACCUACAGUAUAUGUAGUUGCUAUCAUUCAGAUUAAUAUCCAAAAGUGUGCCUUUUACUUCAGUCCUUAUAGACUCCUCCCUAAUACAGACACUUUAUUGUGCCACUCCAAUGUUCAUUCAAAGUGAUCCAACUGACAUCUGAGCUGGUGAUAAUAUACAGCAAAGUAUUGGAACUAGGAGUAUAUCACAUAAGUUGUUCAUUCAGUCAAGACAUCCAGGUUGUGCUGAUCAUCAUAUCAAACUCCAUCACAUAUUGUGCCUUAAAAACAUAUAUACAAAUUUUAAAAGUUGUUGCAGCACACUGGG